CUCAGCAAAGUGGCCUUUCUCAACCAUCCGGUCAGCCUCAUCAAUCACCAGGCACCUGCAGAUCCAGACAGCCCCACAUUCGCUGGUUAAUAGCAGCUCCAGAAAAACUGAGCAAUGCUGCACCACAACUGGGAAUAAUGUUACCUGUGGCUGUGACACACCUCCCCUGGGAAGCCUGCCCAUGCCCCUCAAUUAGAAUUCAUCUGAAUCUCCGCCAGUGCCUGGUAUUCUCUCCUCCCUCGUGGAGGACUUCUCAGGGUGUCCAGUGUGAAAGAAACACACAGAAGCAUGCAGUCAAAGCGCUCGGCAAAGUACCUCACACGCAGUGAGAGUUGGACAACUGAGAAAGUAGCAUUCAAUUUUCUGUGGAGCGUAAUUCUCUGGCAGACGAGAAGUUUCCCUAGAGGGCAAUAGCCACAGCUCGCUCACCUCUGCCACGCCAGCACCUAGGACCCUCUCAGGAAAUACUACAUGGAACU
This is a long non-coding RNA of Myotis lucifugus (little brown bat), 479 nucleotides long. RefSeq lists it as uncharacterized. NCBI's taxonomy places the organism in Eukaryota, Metazoa, Chordata, Mammalia, Chiroptera, Vespertilionidae. The record is from RefSeq and is a predicted model, not a curated record. The transcript is spliced from 3 exons.